UGGGUAACCUGCCUCAAAGAGGGGAAUAGCCUCCCGAAAGGGAGAUUAAUACCGCAUAAUAUGUUUAAGUCGCAUGACUUUAACAUCAAAGGAUUUUCUUUUAGAACUUCCACUUUGAGAUGGACCCGCGGCGCAUUGGCUAGUUGGUGAGGUAACGGCUCACCAAGGCAACGAUGCGUAGCCGACCUGAGAGGGUGAUCGGCCACAUUGGAACUGAGACACGGUCCAGACUCCGUAGGAGG
RNAcentral lists this ribosomal RNA (242 nucleotides) under uncultured bacterium. RNAcentral's name for it is "partial 16S ribosomal RNA". It matches the Rfam family "Bacterial small subunit ribosomal RNA", at positions 118 to 348 of the family's 1533-position model. The record is from RNAcentral.